Non-coding RNA from Vicia faba (fava bean), 306 nucleotides. The record is from the annotation of a GenBank genome assembly. NCBI's taxonomy places the organism in Eukaryota, Viridiplantae, Streptophyta, Magnoliopsida, Fabales, Fabaceae.
AUGCCUCCUCCUGUCUUGAGCGAGGCGGGAAUAAAGGCUUCUCGGAUAGAGAGGUUGAAGGCUUCCCUUACUAACGGUGAAAUGCUCUCUAAGAAGGAUUUUAAAUAUGCAUUUGAAGUGUGUCGGGAGUUCGAAGCGGGUCAGAAAGCUCUUCAGCGGAAGAAGGGUGAUCGGGCCAAUGCUUUGAAAGCUCCCAAGGAGGUGGCGGCUGGUGCUCAACAAAAAUCUCAGGAAUCUCUACAACGAGAAGUAGAGAAGGAUACCGGAGGUGGUCUUGGAUUUAAGGAGUCGAAUGUAGACGUCUGA